GAUGAACGCUAGCGGCAGGCUUAACACAUGCAAGUCGAACGGUAACAGGUCUUCGGAUGCUGACGAGUGGCGCACGGGUGCGUAACGCGUGGGGAUCUGCCCAGGAGUGGGGGACAACCGCUGGAAACGGCGGCUAAUACCGCAUACGCCCAUGGAGUGUGAUGCUCUGUGGGGAAAGAUUUAUCGCUCCUGGAUGAUCCCGCGUCGGAUUAGUUUGUUGGUGGGGUAACGGCCUACCAAGACUGCGAUCCGUAGCUGGUUUGAGAGGAUGAUCAGCCACACUGGGACUGAGACACGGCCCAG
This 303-nucleotide ribosomal RNA is filed under the name uncultured bacterium. RNAcentral's name for it is "bacterial SSU rRNA". It matches the Rfam family "Bacterial small subunit ribosomal RNA", at positions 28 to 334 of the family's 1533-position model. The record is from RNAcentral.